GACGAACGCUGGCGGCGUGCUUAACACAUGCAAGUCGAACGGAAAGUCCCUGCUUGUGGGUUGUUCUCGCGUAACGAAAUGGUUAGUAACCCGUUAAUAACCUGCCCUUUACUUUGGGAUACCUUCAGGAAACUGGGGCUGAUACCGGAUAUGAGCUCCUACUACAUGGUUUGUUUUGGAGAAUUUCGGAGGUUGGGGAUGGACGCGCGGCUUCGCAGCUUGUUGGUGGGGUAGUGUCUUACCGAGGCUUUGACGGGUAGCCGGACUGAGAGGGUGACCGGGCACAUUGGGACAGAGAUACGGUCCAGACUGAAACGGGAGCCAUCAGGGGGGAACAUUCCAAACUGCGCGGCAGGCUGAAGCAGGGACGUCGCGUGCGGGAUCACUGUUUUCGGGUUGUAACACGUUUUAGCGUGUAAAGAAGCGCGCGUGACGGUAAUUGGUAAGGAAGCAACGGCUAACUACGUG
This 468-nucleotide ribosomal RNA is filed under the name uncultured bacterium. Its description in RNAcentral is "partial 16S ribosomal RNA". It matches the Rfam family "Bacterial small subunit ribosomal RNA", at positions 28 to 507 of the family's 1533-position model. The record is from RNAcentral.